UUGUAGAUGUUAAAAGCAAGAGACAUGGGAGAUCAUCAUUCCCUUGAGAUUUUAUAACUCAAACCAACUUUGGAGUUGUCUGAUUUGGAGAGUCAUUAUUCUUGGUCUGCGCUCUUAGAGGCCACUGAUGAAGAGCAGGCGGUGACUGGGAUGAAUGCUGGUCAGAGAGGAGAAUCUUCUUUCCCCUAAACUGAUGCAGCGGUGGUUUUAAAGGAGGACGCUGCCCUGGAUGAUGUAGAAGAUGUCACAUGCUGUGCUGAUGGGGUUUCUUCAUGAUUACAUCAGUUAUGCUAAAGAGAUCAUGAAAAUUGACCGUGAUGCAUGAUCUGUAUUCAUGGACUAUGAAACAAACUGUAAGUGUAUAAUUUGUUAAAAAAAAAAAGUUAAAUGCUUUUUCUGUGUUGUUUAGUAGAAAAGUUUACACUCUGUCAUUCAUACACCUGCUCACAUUCUUUCACACACACACACACACACAUGCGUCUGUUAAAGGUUAUAAUAUCAAAGUUAAUGUUGUGAUUUAUUUGUGUACUGUCAUGCCAGAAUAGUUGGAAAAAAAACUAACUAAUUGUAAAUUUUUAUUGUAUGUGUUUUCGUAUAUUUUUAUACAAUAUAUACAAUUGAACAAAGUCCAAUUUGAUCUUAAGUUAUAUUCAUCAAAUGUUCAAUGCUUUGUUUAUGAACUCUGUAGCUGUUAAUGCCAUCCUUUUCUGCAUUUCUUCUAACAUGUUACUUUUUGACUUUUCUCUUGUUUUUAAUAAAUAUUUUCC
Carassius gibelio (silver crucian carp) is the source of this 767-nucleotide long non-coding RNA. RefSeq lists it as uncharacterized. The record is from RefSeq and is a predicted model, not a curated record. NCBI's taxonomy places the organism in Eukaryota, Metazoa, Chordata, Actinopteri, Cypriniformes, Cyprinidae. The transcript has 3 exons.